CGAACGGGUGAGUAAUAUAUCGGAACAUACCCUAGAGUGGGGGAUAACGUAGCGAAAGUUACGCUAAUACCGCAUACGAACUAAGGUUGAAAGUGGGGGAUCUUCGGACCUCAUGCUCAUGGAGUGGCCGAUAUCUGAUUAGCUAGUUGGUGAGGUAAAGGCUCACCAAGGCGGCGAUCAGUAGCUGGUUUGAGAGAACGACCAGCCACACUGGAACUGAGACACGGUCCAGACUCCUACGGGAGGCAGCAGUGGGGAAUUUUGGACAAUGGGCGCAAGCCUGAUCCAGCAAUGCCGCGUGAGUGAAGAAGGCCUUCGGGUUGUAAAGCUCUUUUGUCAGGGAAGAAACGGUGGUGGUUAAUACCUGCUGCUAAUGACGGUACCUGAAGAAUAAGCGCCGGCUAACUACGUGCCAGCAGCCGCGGUAAUACGUAGGGUGCAAGCGUUAAUCGGAAUUACUGGGCGUAAAGCGUGCGCAGGCGGUUAUAUAAGACAGUCGUGAAAUCCCCGGGCUCAACCUGGGAACUGCGAUUGUGACUGUAUGGCUAGAGUGUGUCAGAGGGGGGUAGAAUUCCACGUGUAGCAGUGAAAUGCGUAGAUAUGUGGAGGAAUACCGAUGGCGAAGGCAGCCCCCUGGGAUAACACUGACGCUCAUGCACGAAAGCGUGGGGAGCAAACAGGAUUAGAUACCCUGGUAGUCCACGCCCUAAACGAUGUCUACUAGUUGUCGGGACUUAAUUGUCUUGGUAACGCAGCUAACGCGUGAAGUAGACCGCCUGGGGAGUACGGUCGCAAGAUUAAAACUCAAAGGAAUUGACGGGACCCGCACAAGCGGUGGAUGAUGUGGAUUAAUUCGAUG
RNAcentral lists this ribosomal RNA (859 nucleotides) under uncultured microorganism. RNAcentral describes it as "bacterial SSU rRNA". It matches the Rfam family "Bacterial small subunit ribosomal RNA", at positions 99 to 956 of the family's 1533-position model. The record is from RNAcentral.